UCAUAUGCUUGUCUCAAAGAUUAAGCCAUGCAUGUCAUAAGUCUCAGACUUUCACACAGUGAAACCGCAGAUGGCUCAUUAAAUCAGUUAUGAUUUCUUAGAUCGUACAAUCCUACUUGGAUAACUGUGGUAAUUCUAGAGCUAAUACAUGCCAAUACGCUCCGACCUGGCAAGGGAACGGGUGGUUUUAUUAAACCAAAGACCAUCCGGGCUUCGGCCCGGGUUUGUGUUGAAUCUGAAUAGCUUUGCGCUGAUGCGCACGUCCUGGUGCCGGCGACGUAUCUUUCAAGUGUCUGCCCUAUCAACUUUCGAUGGUAGGCGAGACGCCUACCACGGUUUCAACGGGUAACGGAGAAUCAGGGUUCGGUUCCGGAGAGGGAGCAUGAGAGACGGCUACCACAUCCAAGGAAGGCAGCAGGCGCGCAAAUUACCCACUCCUGGCACGGGGAGGUAGUGACGAAAAAUAACAAUACGGGAUCUCUUCGAGGCCCCGUAAUUGGAAUGAGUACACUUUAAAUCCUUUACCGAGGAUCUAUUGUGCAGUUAAAAAGCUCGUAGUUGGAUCUCGGGUCCAGGCUGGAGGUCCGCCUCAGCGGCGGCUACUUCUUGUCCUGACCUACCAUCCCGGUUUUCCCUUGGUGCUCUUAGUCUGAGUGUCUCGGGUGGCCGGAACGUUUACUUUGAAAAAUAUAUGGAAGUGUUGCAAAGCACGGACGUGCGAAAGCAUUUGCCAAGAAUGUUUUCAUUAAUCAAGAACGAAAGUCAGAGGUUCGAAGACGAUCAGAUACCGUCGUAGUUCUGACCAUAAACGAUGCCAACUAGCGAUCCGCCGGAGUUGUUUCAAUGACUCGGCGGGCAGCUUCCGGGAAACCAAAGUUUGUGGGUUCCGGGGGAAGUAUGGUUGCAAAGCUGAAACUUAAAGGAAUUGACGGAAGGGCACCACCAGGAGUGGAGCCUGCGGCUUAAUUUGACUCAACACGGGGCAACUUACCCGGUCCGGACAUCGUCAGGAAUGACAGACGCUCGUGCAGUUCUUUCUCGAUUCGAUGGGUGGUGGUGCAUGGCCGUUCGUGGCUGGUGAAGUGAAAAGUCUGGUUUAUUCCGCUAACGGGCGAGGCCUCGCCCUUAACUAGUCGGCUCGUGGUUCUCGAAUCGUAGUCUCCCUUCGGGGAGCAGGGAGAACAUCGGGCGAGUCGCAGCGAUUGUCGCUACUUCUUAGGGGGAUCCCGAGCAAGCUUAAGCUAGGUGAGAGAGAUCAAUAACAGGUCAGUGAUGCCCUUAGAUGUCCGGGGCCGCACGCGCGCUACACUGAAGACGAAAGCGCGAGUGCCUACGGUCUUGGUUUGGUCAGGCCGGGAACCCGCCCCGAGAGGGGAGGUUGGGGCUGUUCCUUCACGGGGGCAGUCUCGCCUACUGCGGGUUAACCGUGCCAAUCGUCUUCGUGCUGGGGAUCGGGGCUUGCAACUCAGCCCCGUGAACGAGGAAUUCCGAGUAGGCGUCCGUCAUCAGCUGGCGCCGAUUAAGUCCCUGCCUUUUGUACACACCGCCCGUCGCUACCUCCGAUAGAAUGGCUAAGCGAGGCCGUUAGACUGGGCCUGCUUUCGAGUGGGCCCGGAAAGGCGUUCGAGCUUAAUCAUUUAGAGGAAGUA
This 1649-nucleotide ribosomal RNA is filed under the name Acmaea sp. SWH-2005. RNAcentral's name for it is "bacterial SSU rRNA". It matches the Rfam family "Eukaryotic small subunit ribosomal RNA". The record is from RNAcentral. Lineage: Eukaryota; Metazoa; Mollusca; Gastropoda; Acmaeidae.